Long non-coding RNA from Mugil cephalus (flathead mullet), 506 nucleotides. RefSeq lists it as uncharacterized. The transcript is spliced from 3 exons. NCBI's taxonomy places the organism in Eukaryota, Metazoa, Chordata, Actinopteri, Mugiliformes, Mugilidae. The record is from RefSeq and is a predicted model, not a curated record.
GUUGCUGGCUGGUUGCUGCCUGGUUGCUGGCUGGUUGCUGGCUGGUUGCAUAAUGACCGAGCUCCCAGUGGUUUUCAGUGAAUAGUCCAUGUAAUUAAAGCUGGUGUUUAAAGCGUGUGGGAGCUGAAGCAGCAGUUAAUCAUUGUGUGAGAUCACAGCCGAGUGCUGAACAGCUGUAAAUCCAGCAGCGCAACGAGCACAAUUACUCAACACGACGGCAACGAGACACGCUCCCUGGCCAGUUUAUUAGGAACACUGAUGAAUGCAUGCUGACGGAAAUAAAUCUGGUCUUCGUGAAGGCUCCUGGUGAAUGAAAAGAACUUUCUCCAAAUCGUGGCUAAAGCUGCACGUUAAAGUCUCAGCAUCUCAGUGAUGAGCACGUGGGAACUUCUCGUGUGUCGCAGACGUCAUUUUGGCCCCAUGAACAUCACAAAGGGCAGAGACGCACCAAGCUAAGCAAUGUUUUUCCUGUGUCCACCAUUUUUGGUGCUAAUUGGACCCAUAUC